RNAcentral lists this long non-coding RNA (322 nucleotides) under Salvia miltiorrhiza (redroot sage). RNAcentral's name for it is "long non-coding RNA (SMIL_LNC008024)". The record is from RNAcentral. Lineage: Eukaryota; Viridiplantae; Streptophyta; Magnoliopsida; Lamiales; Lamiaceae.
CACCUAAAAACCCAUGACCUUCAUGCCCCAAUUGCAUAGAAAAAUUGCAGAAAUAAUUCCCGAAUUUAGCUACUUUAUCUCACCCAAUUGCACCCACCAACCACCAAUACUUGGUAAUCGCGCCGCCAAUUGAAUCGUCACCGCCAUAGUCGUGCCGGCCUAGCCAUACUCCAAUCGCUAUGCCCCACAGCUGCGACGAGAAUACCCAUCGUUACAAUAGAAUAGCAGCGUAUAAUUUUUGAAUUUUUAAAGGAUAAAUUUGUAAUGUGAAAAAUUAAUCCAUUACAUUGUAGCAUUCAAGAAACUGCGACUGGCCCUCGGU